UGGGGAAUUUUGGACAAUGGGCGCAAGCCUGAUCCAGCCAUGCCGCGUGUGUGAAGAAGGCCUUCGGGUUGUAAAGCACUUUCGGCCGGAACGAAAUCGCCUUUGUUAAUAGCGAGGGUGGAUGACGGUACCGGAAGAAGAAGCACCGGCUAACUACGUGCCAGCAGCCGCGGUAAUACGUAGGGUGCGAGCGUUAAUCGGAAUUACUGGGCGUAAAGGGCUCGUAGGCGGCCAACUAAGUCAGACGUGAAAUCCCUCGGCUUAACCGGGGAACUGCGUCUGAUACUGGAUGGCUUGAGGUUGGGAGAGGGAUGCGGAAUUCCAGGUGUAGCGGUGAAAUGCGUAGAUAUCUGGAGGAACACCGGUGGCGAAGGCGACAUCCUGGACCAAUUCUGACGCUGAGGAGCGAAAGCCAGGGGAGCAAACGGGAUUAGAUACCCGAGUAGUCCCUGAGCGGGCUGGCAAGGCG
This 469-nucleotide ribosomal RNA is filed under the name uncultured bacterium. RNAcentral's name for it is "bacterial SSU rRNA". It matches the Rfam family "Bacterial small subunit ribosomal RNA", at positions 355 to 822 of the family's 1533-position model. The record is from RNAcentral.